CUUCAAACCGCCGGCAAUAUCACUUUAUAAGAUAAUCAGUUAUCCACUUAUUCAAUAAAAAUAAUUGAGGAUAUAUUAUGAAGUACAUAUUUCGUCUUGGAGAUAAUCAAAAAGACUCUAUCUGGGAGAAAAUCUUAUUUUUUUGCUGGCGCGAUUUCCAUAAAAGACAUGUGCAGCCCUCUAGCACUCAGUGACCCAAUUAAUAAUUGAAGAUUAUUUAUAUAUAACAGAUUCCUUAUCCAAGCAAGCAAAAAUAUGAAUAAAAAGAUAAAACCAAAA
Long non-coding RNA from Coccinella septempunctata (seven-spotted ladybird), 279 nucleotides. RefSeq lists it as uncharacterized. The record is from RefSeq and is a predicted model, not a curated record. The transcript has 2 exons. Lineage: Eukaryota; Metazoa; Arthropoda; Insecta; Coleoptera; Coccinellidae.